UACAGAGGUCUCGAGCGUUAGGCGGAAUCACUGGGCUUAAAGCGUGUGUAGGCGGCGGGCUAAGUACCUUGUGAAAUCCCACGGCUUAACUGUGGAACUGCUGGGUAUACUGGUUCGCUUGAGCGGUCUAGGGGCGAGCGGAACAAAUGGUGGAGCGGUGAAAUGCGUAGAUAUCAUGUGGAACGCCAACGGUGAAAACAGCUCGCUGGGGACCUGCUGACGCUGAGACACGAAAGCCAGGGGAGCGAACGGG
RNAcentral lists this ribosomal RNA (253 nucleotides) under uncultured bacterium. RNAcentral's name for it is "partial 16S ribosomal RNA". It matches the Rfam family "Bacterial small subunit ribosomal RNA", at positions 524 to 776 of the family's 1533-position model. The record is from RNAcentral.